AGGGUGUAAACGCUGCAGACUUGGUGUUGGGAACCCUUCGGGGGUGUCCAGUGCCGGAGAGAAGUUGUUAAGUCUGCUACUUGGGGAGUACGUCCGCAAGGAUGAAACUUAAAGGAAUUGGCGGGGGAGCACCGCAACGGGAGGAGCGUGCGGUUUAAUUGGAUUCAACACCGGGAAGCUCACCGGAUAAGACAGCGGAAUGAUUGCCGGGCUGAAGACUCUGCAUGACUAGCUGAGAGGAGGUGCAUGGCGUAGACGUCU
RNAcentral lists this ribosomal RNA (261 nucleotides) under uncultured archaeon. Its description in RNAcentral is "partial 16S ribosomal RNA". It matches the Rfam family "Archaeal small subunit ribosomal RNA", at positions 748 to 1009 of the family's 1478-position model. The record is from RNAcentral.